GGCCUCGUGAUCAAGUGGUAAGGAUACGUGCCUCUCAUCCUCGAGUCGCGGAAUCAAUCCCCGGCCGAGGAGCUA
Rhamnusium bicolor is the source of this 75-nucleotide non-coding RNA. The record is from the annotation of a GenBank genome assembly. Lineage: Eukaryota; Metazoa; Arthropoda; Insecta; Coleoptera; Cerambycidae.